Molecule: ribosomal RNA, 427 nt
Filed under: uncultured bacterium
Lineage: Bacteria
Description: partial 16S ribosomal RNA
Rfam family: Bacterial small subunit ribosomal RNA
Source: RNAcentral
UGGGGAAUAUUGCACAAUGGGCGCAAGCCUGAUGCAGCCAUGCCGCGUGUGUGAAGAAGGCCUUCGGGUUGUAAAGCACUUUCAGCGAGGAGGAAGGGUAGUGUGUUAAUAGCACAUUGCAUUGACGUUACUCGCAGAAGAAGCACCGGCUAACUCCGUGCCAGCAGCCGCGGUAAUACGGAGGGUGCAAGCGUUAAUCGGAAUUACUGGGCGUAAAGCGCACGCAGGCGGUGUGUUAAGUCAGAUGUGAAAUCCCCGCGCUUAACGUGGGAACUGCAUUUGAAACUGGCAGGCUAGAGUCUUGUAGAGGGGGGUAGAAUUCCAGGUGUAGCGGUGAAAUGCGUAGAGAUCUGGAGGAAUACCGGUGGCGAAGGCGGCCCCCUGGACAAAGACUGACGCUCAGGUGCGAAAGCGUGGGGAGCAAACA